AGACGAACGCUGGCGGCGUGCCUAAUACAUGCAAGUCGAGCGGAUCUUCAUUAGCUUGCUUUUGAAGAUCAGCGGCGGACGGGUGAGUAACACGUGGGCAACCUGCCUGUAAGACUGGGAUAACUUCGGGAAACCGGAGCUAAUACCGGAUAAUCCUUUCCCUCACAUGAGGGAAAGCUGAAAGACGGUUUCGGCUGUCACUUACAGAUGGGCCCGCGGCGCAUUAGCUAGUUGGUGAGGUAACGGCUCACCAAGGCAACGAUGCGUAGCCGACCUGAGAGGGUGAUCGGCCACACUGGGACUGAGACACGGCCCAGACUCCUACGGGAGGCAGCAGUAGGGAAUCUUCCGCAAUGGACGAAAGUCUGACGGAGCAACGCCGCGUGAACGAUGAAGGCUUUCGGGUCGUAAAGUUCUGUUGUCAGGGAAGAACAAGUACCGGAGUAACUGCCGGUACCUUGACGGUACCUGACCAGAAAGCCACGGCUAACUACGUGCCAGCAGCCGCGGUAAUACGUAGGUGGCAAGCGUUGUCCGGAAUUAUUGGGCGUAAAGCGCGCGCAGGCGGUUCCUUAAGUCUGAUGUGAAAGCCCCCGGCUCAACCGGGGAGGGUCAUUGGAAACUGGGGAACUUGAGUGCAGAAGAGGAGAGCGGAAUUCCACGUGUAGCGGUGAAAUGCGUAGAGAUGUGGAGGAACACCAGUGGCGAAGGCGGCUCUCUGGUCUGUAACUGACGCUGAGGCGCGAAAGCGUGGGGAGCGAACAGGAUUAGAUACCCUGGUAGUCCACGCCGUUAAGCGAUGAGUGCUAAGUGUUAGAGGGUUUCCGCCCUUUA
RNAcentral lists this ribosomal RNA (834 nucleotides) under uncultured bacterium. RNAcentral describes it as "bacterial SSU rRNA". It matches the Rfam family "Bacterial small subunit ribosomal RNA", at positions 26 to 842 of the family's 1533-position model. The record is from RNAcentral.